GCUGCCCUGUUUCCGCUUCUGGGGGGAAGGGAACGGGGGAGAGGAAAGUCCGGGCAACACAGGGCAUCCCGCUUCCUAACGGGAAGAGGUCCGCGAGGGUCUGUAGGUGCAGAAGAAAACAACCGCCCGUUUGAAAUGUCGAAACAUCAGAAAGUUGAAACGUUGAAAUGGGUAAGGGUGAGAAGGUGAGGCAAGAGCUUACCAGGCCGGCAGCGAUGUCGGUGCUGUGCACUCCGGGAGUUGAAAGUUCAUGUAAACCGGCAAAGCUUGGCACGACCCAAAGUCGGCCGAGAGAGAAGGCGGCCCGUCUGAGCCGGAGGGUAGAACGAUAGAGGGCAGCGGCAACGCUGUCCGUAGAUAAAUGGCAAGCAUUUCAGGCUGACUGAAAUACAGAACCCGGCUUACAGGUUCGCU
This 414-nucleotide RNase P RNA is filed under the name bovine gut metagenome. RNAcentral describes it as "Bacterial RNase P class A". It matches the Rfam family "Bacterial RNase P class A". From Rfam's summary of the family: Ribonuclease P (RNase P) is a ubiquitous endoribonuclease, found in archaea, bacteria and eukarya as well as chloroplasts and mitochondria. Its best characterised activity is the generation of mature 5'-ends of tRNAs by cleaving the 5'-leader elements of precursor-tRNAs. The record is from RNAcentral.